Molecule: ribosomal RNA, 798 nt
Filed under: Aneurinibacillus aneurinilyticus
Lineage: Bacteria; Bacillati; Bacillota; Bacilli; Caryophanales; Paenibacillaceae
Description: partial 16S ribosomal RNA
Source: RNAcentral
GGAACCGCGAGGCCACGGAUUGGUACCCCCUUAGUUUGGUCCCGGGCUCCGGAGGCCCGACAAGGGGAACCGGGGCCCUUCCCCCCGGGGUUUGUCCCGGGCCCCGGGGCCCGCCCCAAGGUAAACAGAAGGGGGCCCCCCUGGGGGUUUUCCCCGGCCCGGGCGGCGGGCCCCAUGGACCCAAAAUGGAACGCCCUCCGGGGUCGCCCCCGGCUGGGAUUGCGGGGCAAUAAAAAAAUGGGGGGGGAACGGCCCCCCCGGGCGACGAUGCGUACCCCACCCGAAAGGGUGAUCGGCCCCCCCGGGCCUGGCCCCCCGCCCUAACUCCCUCGGGAGGGUCUGGUAGGGAAUCCUCCACCAUGGGCCCAAGUCUGGUGGAGGCCCCCCCCGUGAGCAACGGAAGCUUUCGGGUCGUAUAUUUCUGUUUUCACGGAAGACCACCUGCCCCCCGGGAUGGCGGGCUCCUUGUCCGUCCCCUUGCGGGAAACUCCCCGCGAAAUUCUGGCCCGCAGACCCGGGGGUAUUUCCUGUGCCGGGACUCGCCUCUCCCGGCUAUUUUGGUGCGGCAAGUCCCGCCCCUGGGCCCUCCUUUAGUCUUUUCGGUGUAUCCCCCCCCGCCCUACUCGGGGGGGGGGUUCUGUGGGCCAUCGGGCGUGCUUUUGUUCUUUUCGGGGCCGAUAAGGUGGCCUUCCCCCCCGGCUGGGGCUGUGACGCCCCCUUUCUUCGCCUUUGGAUCCCCCCCUGGGCCGCCGCGCCUCCCCCUUGGGGCCCCUCACUUGGUAUGCUCGGUGGGGGUUA